Molecule: ribosomal RNA, 2796 nt
Filed under: Triticum aestivum (bread wheat)
Lineage: Eukaryota; Viridiplantae; Streptophyta; Magnoliopsida; Poales; Poaceae
Description: partial small subunit ribosomal RNA
Source: RNAcentral
AUGGUGGCCAUAUGUGAAUUCAGGUUCUUGGGGAACCAUUUCGCCUGCCGACGGUGCGACGCCCUUCUGAUUCGGGACGAGGAGGUUGUGGCCUUCUACGGGGACAAAGACAUAUGUCAUUGUGCCCAGGUUGUUCAGCAUGAAGAAGUGGACUUGGGCCUUCUCCUUUUACAUUGUUGUUUUCCACAGGCUCGGUGGUUGCCUGGUGCUGGCUCUUUGAUGGCCGAAGACCUCGACGGAUCCAUCAAGCUCAAUCUAAAAAACAAAAGCAAUCAGAUCCUCCCCGGUGAAACACCAAUGCCCUAUCCACUACGCGCCGCCACCGCGCUGCUGCCAUCCGUCGCCGCUCUGCUCCGGGCCGGGAGGAUGAGGGAGGAGGAGGAGCGCAGCUGGUUUGCGCGCUUCGAAGAGGACCUGUCGGCGCCGGGCGAGCUCAUGCUGCGCAGUCGCUCAUCCCCUACGAUCUCGCCGCUGCCUUCGACACCCCCACACACAGGGGCGGCCUGCUCAGGGGCGGCCCGCCAGGAGAUGAACGGCGGCGCGUCGUCAGCCGCCGGCUCCAGCGGAAGCAACGGGGAGGAACCGGCCAGGACCCUCAAAUCGAGCUCGUCCUCCUUCGUGGAUGAGGGCGACGGGAAGUCGAGCAGGUGGACUCAUCUUGUCGCCUCCCCCUCCAAACCCCCCCUUGACCACAUCGGAGGAAGAGGGUGCUACUCCUCUGCUUCGGCUCCUGACGCGUGCUCCAUGUCGCUGACCCGACCGCCACCCUCGCUGCAGCACCGACAGUCCAACGCCUUGGAAAUGCACGCACCCCAGCCGCCUCCUCGUCAUCUGCUAUGGCCGUGGUCGUCUCCUACGCCGACGAGGGCGUCGCCGUGUGUACUAGACGGCAAGGCCACCGCUCCCAUGGUACACAUGGUGGCCAUAUGUGAAUUCGGGUUCUUGGUGAACCAUUUCGCCUGCCGACGGUGCGACGCCCUUCUGAUCCGGGACGAGGAGGUUGUGGCCUUCUACGGCGACAAAGACAUAUGUCAUUGUGCCCAGCAAUCAGAUCCUCCCCGGUGGAACACCAAUGCCCUAUCCACUACGCGCCGCCGCCGGCUGCUGCCAUCCGCCGCCGCUCUGCUCCGGGCCGGGAGGAUGAGGGAGGAGGAGGAGCGCAGCUGGUUUGCGCGCUUCGAAGAGGACCUGUCGGCGUCGGGCGAGCUCAUGCUGCGCAGUUGCACAUCCCCUGCGAUCUCGCCGCUGCCUUCGACACACCCACACACAGGGGCGGCCCGCUCAGGGGCGGCCCGCCAGGAGAUGAACGGCGGCGCGUCGUCAGCCGCCGGCUCCAGCGGAAGCAACGGGGAGGAGCCGGCCAGGACCCUCAAAUCGAGCUCGUCCUCCUUCGUGGAUGAGGGCGACGGGAAGUCGAGCAGGUGGACUCAUCUUGUCGCCUCCCCCUCCAAACCCCCCCUUGACCACAUCGGAGGAAGAGGGUGCUGCUCCUCUGCUUCGGCUCCUGGCGCGUGCUCCAUGUCGCUGACCCGACCGCCACCCUCGCUACAGCACCGGCAGGCCAACGCCUCGGAAAUGCGCGCACCCCAGCCGCCUCCUCGUCAUCUGCUACGGCCGUGGUCGUCUCCUACACCGACGAGGGCGUCGCCGUGCGUACUAGACGGCAAGGCCACCGCUCCCAUGGUACACAUGGUGGCCAUAUGUGAAUUCGGGUUCUUGGUGAACCAUUUCGCCUGCCGACGGUGCGACGCCCUUCUGAUCCGGGACGAGGAGGUUGUGGCCUUCUACGGCGACAAAGACAUAUGUCAUUGUGCCCAGCAAUCAGAUCCUCCCCGGUGGAACACCAAUGCCCUAUCCACUACGCGCCGCCGCCGGCUGCUGCCAUCCGCCGCCGCUCUGCUCCGGGCCGGGAGGAUGAGGGAGGAGGAGGAGCGCAGCUGGUUUGCGCGCUUCGAAGAGGACCUGUCGGCGUCGGGCGAGCUCAUGCUGCGCAGUUGCACAUCCCCUGCGAUCUCGCCGCUGCCUUCGACACACCCACACACAGGGGCGGCCCGCUCAGGGGCGGCCCGCCAGGAGAUGAACGGCGGCGCGUCGUCAGCCGCCGGCUCCAGCGGAAGCAACGGGGAGGAGCCGGCCAGGACCCUCAAAUCGAGCUCGUCCUCCUUCGUGGAUGAGGGCGACGGGAAGUCGAGCAGGUGGACUCAUCUUGUCGCCUCCCCCUCCAAACCCCCCCUUGACCACAUCGGAGGAAGAGGGUGCUGCUCCUCUGCUUCGGCUCCUGGCGCGUGCUCCAUGUCGCUGACCCGACCGCCACCCUCGCUACAGCACCGGCAGGCCAACGCCUCGGAAAUGCGCGCACCCCAGCCGCCUCCUCGUCAUCUGCUACGGCCGUGGUCGUCUCCUACACCGACGAGGGCGUCGCCGUGCGUACUAGACGGCAAGGCCAGUGGGCCUGAUUGCCUUUUCUGUAAAUAUCUAGGGCGCGGAGGAAAUCCUUCAGUCAAGACCUGCUUCCAUCUCGUGUUGAGCGAGAUAUAUUUCUCGCGCGGUUCCCACUUCCCCCGCGGCCUCUACAGUUCAGUUGGGGUCCUUCGUUCCCACGUCCGAUUCACAGAGGACAAAUUAACCGCUACCUCUUCCGAUACAGACGGCCGGUGGUUAACUCCACGCCGUAGUACGUGGCUGGCGACGCCAUUGAUUGCCCCAGCGUCGCCGCUCUCCAUUUGCUUUUCCCCGGCCGGCCGGCCGGCCGAUAGAGAUCCAAAAAGUUGCGGUUGUUCGACCCACCAGCCAUAG